This 460-nucleotide ribosomal RNA is filed under the name uncultured bacterium. RNAcentral describes it as "partial 16S ribosomal RNA". It matches the Rfam family "Bacterial small subunit ribosomal RNA", at positions 338 to 795 of the family's 1533-position model. The record is from RNAcentral.
CCUACGGGAGGCAGCAGUGAGGAAUAUUGGUCAAUGGUCGGGAGACUGAACCAGCCAAGCCGCGUGAGGGAUGAAGGUACAGAGUAUCGUAAACCUCUUUUGUCAGGGAACAAAGGCGGGGACGUGUCCCCGGAUGAGUGUACCUGAAGAAAAAGCAUCGGCUAACUCCGUGCCAGCAGCCGCGGUAAUACGGAGGGUGCGAGCGUUAUCCGGAUUUAUUGGGUUUAAAGGGUGCGCAGGCGGGCUGUUAAGUCAGGGGUGAAAGGCCGGGGCUCAACCCCGGCCCGGCCGUGGAAACUGGCAGUCUCGAGUUGGAGAGAAGUAUGCGGAAUGCGCGGUGUAGCGGUGAAAUGCAUAGAUAUCGCGCAGAACUCCGAUUGCGAAGGCAGCAUGCCGGCUCCACACUGACGCUGAGGCACGAAAGCGUGGGUAUCGAACAGGAUUAGAUACCCUUGUAGUC